RNAcentral lists this long non-coding RNA (10131 nucleotides) under Coffea arabica (coffee). RNAcentral describes it as "long non-coding RNA (CARA_LNC004434)". Lineage: Eukaryota; Viridiplantae; Streptophyta; Magnoliopsida; Gentianales; Rubiaceae. The record is from RNAcentral.
UUUUUUUUUUUUUUUUUUUUUUGGUUGGGGAAAUAUUACAAGCCUAUCAUGUGAUGUAAUUUCGAGGAUAACAAAGGCAUAACAAACCAUUUUACCCAAAUGCAUAACAUCUAUCAAUACUAGCAUUAGCAAUCAGAAAGAAGGUUUAUUUCUUAUAUUUGAACAAAGCAAGAAAAAAUUUGGAGGAUUUUGACCAAAAAUUCUAUAUAGUAUCAAGAGAAGUGUUAAAGAAAAAGGAAGAAAUAAUAUUCUACGAAAAAAGUGGAAAAUCAGGACUAAAGUUACGAGUUAAAUAAUAAGCAAAAAUAUGUCAAAUAUUAAAAGAAGCAUACAAACUGAAAAAAAAGAAGUAAGAAAAGAACACAUAAAACUAGAGAAAGGGGCGUGAUGUUUAUUUCAUUGCUUAUUUUUGAAUAAAAAUAUAGUGUGAUGCCUAUUUUACCUCUGAAACUAUUAUUUUUAACCAAUAAACGGACUAAGAUCUUAAUAUAAAAGUAGUCUGUUUCAUUUUUGUAAGGGAUCAAUUUGCAUGAUUUUGAAAGUAAGGGGUGUAAAGGCUAUAUAUGCAAUAUAAAAGGGACUAAUUUAGUGAUUUUCCCAAAAUAUGUUGUAGACCAAGAAGCUGUUUGCUCCGCUCCUGAUCAACGGUACUAUGCGAGCCACGUCUACGGAAGUCUUUGAAGCUCGAUAGGCUGAGCGCCGAUCACAAUUCAAUCUAUGGAAAACCUCUUUCUGCAGGCGCCAGUAGUAAAAGUAGGGCUGCAAGUCAAUUCAGUAGUUUGAUUCGAACUCGCAAGGAACUCGGUCAGCUGUUUAACUUGAGCUCGAUUAAAGUCGAAUUCGAGUUAUUCGAUUGAGUUUUCGAGUCAAAUUUGAGUAAGAAUAUUAAGUGUUCGAAAGGUCGUCGAGAUUUAUCAAGUACUCGCUAUAAUAUUUUAAUUAAUAUUUUAAAAAUAAUUAAAUUAUUCCUUCAGCUGUAAAUUCUUUGACAAGCUCGAGUACUGGCUCGAUUUUCAACGAACUAGACUCGAGCCUAGAAUAUAUUAUUUCAAGUCGAGUUCGAACACAGUAUAACUAACUUACUCAAGCAAUAUAUCUGUCAUGGCCCCAAAUGUAUUAGAUAAUCCAAAUUCUUAGUUGUUAAUAUUGUAGUUUAGUGGAGGGCUUUGGAUUGAUUAGUAAAGAUAAGCAUGUAUAUAUAGUUGUAAAUGGUGGAAAGCCAUUAGGCAAUAUCAGAAUUUUCAAGUCAAUUUCUCUCUCAUAUUCCUAGUUCCUUUGUCUCUCCCUGUUCUUUCUCGAUUCCUCCUUUUCCUUCUUCUUCUUCUUCAACUAGUCUUCUUUGUAUCUUCUUCUUGAUGCUGGGUUCUGACAAUUGAUAUCAGAGCUGCUCUUCCUUGGACUGCUAUUGAUUUCAAUUGCAAGUUCUGUUUCUUUCUUCCCUUCCCUUUCCUCUCUAUUUUUUCUUCUUUUCUCUCUCUACUCUAUCUCUGAUCCUUCCUAUUUUCUAUUUCUGAUUCCUUCUUGUUAACCUUUCAAGAUUCACCAAUAAUCCACUACUACUACUAUUACCGAAUUGAGUUCCAAAUUCCCACCAUAUUAAAUUGUACCAAUGGAUGAAAAUAAUGUCUAUGAACUCUUAAAAGGCCAAAUCAAGAAGGGAAACUUGAAUAUGGAUGAGUUGCAGGAACAAAUUGAAUUACAAGCUCAAAGAUUUCAAGAAUAGUUGGCUGCAAAAGGAAAGGGUGGCUAUCAUAAGUUGGAUGUAACAAUGUACAAAUUCAAUUGUAAUUUCAAUAUUAUGCUUCGAAUACUCAGUCAUAAAAAGGGGUAUACACUGGAAAAGCAUCAAAGAAUUAUUGGGGAAAAGCCUACCACAUCCAUUCAAACCAAGGAGGUCCCUCUUUCAAAAUCUACCCCAAUCAAGAAAUGGACUAAUGCAUAUUCGGCGACAGUAUAAACAAAAAAGUUUAGAGCCUUCCAUGGUGAAAUGGAAGAACAUUUGGAAGGUGACUACAGUUUUGCAAUUGAAGAACACCACUUGUUUGAUGAAAGUUCAAAGCUUCCUUCUUCAGUCAUUUCAGUUUAAGGGGAGUUGAAACAUUCAACAUGGGGCAAUGAACGAGAAUUAGAAUUCAAGAAUCAACUUCUUGAAACUGAGACAAUUAAUUUGAAUCAGAAGUUGAUUGAGGAAAAAGUUGGCAUGAUUUCUUUUCCACAAUUUUCAAGUACUGACUUGGUUAUGUCUUCUAAGGAAAAUUCUAGACAAGAUGAAAAAUGUGAUGAAAUCAUCUUAAAUCAUCAAGUGCUGGAUGACAUAGAGAUUGAAACUCAUGGAAUUGGUAUUCAAGAAAAUGUUGAUAUUGAGUCACACGACUUGGAAUUGAUGAAAGGAGAGAUUAAUAUGUCUAAAUCUAUUGAGGGUUGUCAUAAACUAGAAAGGCAAAGAUUGCAAGAUGAAGUGGAAGAGCCUAGUGUAUUGCAGCUAUAGGUUGUUGUUCAAAAAAAUCACAAAGCUGUUGAAGAAUUCAGAUUGUUGAUGUUGUUAGAAGGUCCUGGAUUGAUUGGAGAUUAUGUAAUUAGUGCCUCGAAGGCAGACACCAAAUUUGUGCUACAGUUUUUUAAGCUAGGAGACCUCAUAGAGGUUAUCGCAAGUGUUUUCCUUCAAGAGCACUUGGCUGGAAUCAUCGGAAAGGAGUCCAAAUUUGUGAUUAAAGCAUGGGCUGAAAUUAUUAUUGGGUUCAAAGGUGGCACUCUUACAAGAAGUAUUAAUCAAAGUCCAAGCCAAAAUUAUAGAAUAGCCACUUGGGUAAACUUGAAUAAUGGUUGCAUGUCUCUCCUUGAAGAUGUUUCUAGUGAUCAAGAUUCAUCCUUUGCUACUGAAUCAAAUACAAGUUUCACACUUGUUUUUGAUGGCCUUAGUGGUUACCAAGCUGGUAUGGAUGUGGAAAUGAUUAAAUCAAUGGCACUGGAUUGAGUGUGUGACUACAUUUAAGGGUGGUACUGGUAGUUUGACGGAAUUGUUGCAUUCAAGAGUUUCACAUUUACUCUUUAAGAACUAUGUGUAGAAGUUAGAAAACUUAAAGCUCAAAAUUCAGAAAUGGAAUAGGGUUAGGGACCGGCUACAACAGGAUGUUGCAAAGGAGUGGUUCCAACUUAGAAAACAACUUUUGACAGAGUUUUGGAAGGGUGAGAUCAAAGAGAUUUCUCUGUUGCACCCUGUCUUUGAGUAGCACAAUGCCAUUAGGAAAGCAACUGGUAUUAGAAGAUUAUGAAGCUGCAUUUUGAUUGUCUGAAGUUGGCCAAGAUAGUUCACAAGAUUUCUAUGAAUGUUGCAUUUCUCCAGUUUUCAGUUUCAAAACUCAAUCCUUGAGGACAAGGAUUCUAUUAAGGGGGGAGUAUUGUCAUGGCCCCAAAUGUAUUAGAUAAUCCAAAUUCUUAGUUGUUAAUAUUGUAGUUUAGUGGAGGGCUUUGGAUUGAUUAGUAAAGAUAAGCAUGUAUAUAUAGUUGUAAAUGGUGAAAAGCCAUUAGGCAAUAUCAGAAUUUUCAAGUCAAUUUCUCUCUCAUAUUCCUAGUUCCUCUGUCUCUCUUUGUUCUUCCUCGAUUCCUCCUUUUCCUUCUUCUUCUUCUUCAACUAGUCUUCCUUGUAUCUUCUUCUUCUCGAGCCUAGAAUAUAUUAUUUCAACUCGAGUUCGAACACAGUAUAACUAACUUACUCAAGCAAUAUAUCUAAUUAUCGAGCUCGAACUCAAAUAUGAGAGUACUCGAACACAUAAUAGUCCCAAAUAAACCACCAAACAAUUUGUCGAAUAUGUAAUGUGCAGGUUUUCUAAUUCUAUUUAAUCUUCCCAUAUUUUUUUUAGUACUCCUAUUAUGGCUAGCUUUCAAUUUUUCGUAUACUGAGGGUAGCAAUGUAUGAACAUUUUUUCUAAAAAACGAAAAAAAAAAGAUUUCUGUCAAAUCUUAGUGGAUACACUUAUGGAUUAAGUGUCUUGAGUCUAUUAACCUCUUAUUCUCUUAUCAGGAAUGUGCAAUAGGUGAUGAUACAACAAAAAUUUAGUGAAAAGUUUUGGUACUCUUUCUUUUUUUUACUCUUUUACCACUACAUAACCGUUCAAAUAUGCCGUAAAUGUAAUGCAACAAAACGAAUGGUAGCCUUCCACAUCAAUUUUAACAUUUCACGGAAGGCGCAAACUCUCAACGAGUCAAAAGUAAUAAUCAAUGCAUUUACAAAAUUGCAGGAGUAAUUCUCAGGAAUAAACAAACAAUACUUAAAAACCACCAACAGAUUUUUUUUCUCUCCAUAUUUUUUUUAUUUUUAAAAUUUUUUUUUCCUCCCCUGAUACCCGCUUGAGUUGCAAAAGAAACUGGGCAAUACAUACAAGAAAUUUUAAGAAUUUUUGACAACCAAUAUAGCAAACCUUUACACAUCUAAUUCUUGUUCCUUUUUGCUUCAAACUUUGUGGCUUCUUUAAGUGAUUCUUGAGCAUCAUUGUCCAUCCCUAGGGUGAACAGGACGGCUGCUUGAAGGUAGAAGGCAGUGGGCCAUUCGGGCGAUACUACAUGAGCUUGCAUAGCAUCCCCCAGAGCUUCUUGUGCCAUUUCACUCAUCAGAUAGGCUAAGCAGCGUCUGGCAUAUACAGUGGGUGACACCAUGGUUCCACCAUCAACGAACUGCAUCAUGACCAAGUCUUACUCAAGGCUUUCUUUCCCAGUAAUAGGAAAAGCACACAUUUUGGAGAACCUUUUAGCUAUUUAACACGUUAGGUUUCCCUCAAAAUCACCAAAAUUCAGGUUCAACUCCCUAAAGGACAGCACAUGAAAUCAAUUUUCAUAUUGCCUUUUAAGCAUUCCUCAUGUCUGCCAUUAAUUCCGGUACUAAACCAAAUUUAGCCAUAUCAACAAGUUUUAUCUCAUGGUAGCGUGUACUCUUGGCAAAUUAAUACUCCUGAACAAGCUCAAACUUCUGAGCCUGCCACUGCUAGAAGAUUGUGUAAUCCUCGAGCCAGUGCCUAAGAUAGAGAGACGGCAAAAAAGUGAUCAUACCUGUGUAUAACAAUCAAUGGCAGUGGUGAAAUCCUUUGCUCGAAAAGCUGCAUCUCCUUGCUUCUUAGAAUUCAAAGUUUCCUGCAUUUGAUUUGUCCACAUCUGGAAAGAAAGCUGCAGGGACCAAGUGCUCAAACAAUAUCAAACCGUUGUUGCUGAUUUAAGAUAUGCAAGCACAACACAGAACAGCAGUGUAACUUCAAAUGCAGAAAGAUCAAACUACACUGUUUGAGAGCUUCAAGAUAUCGUUGUAUUUUACAAACUUUACAAUGUAAAAAUGAUUAUCUGCAAUCCUUGAAGGGGAGGGGUGCCAAUGUGUCCUUAGGCAAUUAAGUUGUUCUGUUUCUUAAUUUUGAAAGAAAACAUGGAAAAAAGCUUGUAAUGCACAUGCCCACAGCGCAUUCAAUUUCCUUAAAACAUAUCUUAUCCACAAAUGAACAGAGUUAUAAUGGUUGUGUUUUAAUUGUUAAGAGUAAUAACAAAGUAAACAGAAAAAAAGAAUGACUAGAAUUUAUAGUAGAAGCUAAUUUGUCAGGGACCAGAAAAACCUUGGAAUAAGCAUACCACUUAUACAGUCCCAAUUAGCUAUGAAACGAGAAUUAUGCCACCAAAAAAUAUAUGAAACUUUGAACGAAUAUAACUCACCUCAUUUGCAAUUCCUUCAUCAUCCUUAUAUCCAGCCUUUUCCAACAUUUCAUGGAUGGCAGUGAGAUCCAUUCUCAAGCAAGCUUCACCCAUAGGUGUCAACAGCAAUGGUUCCACUGGGCUUGCAGAACCAUGAGAUAUGCCCAUCAGAACAUAAGAAGGAACCUGGUGAACAAAGGUCAGAAACACUUUCUCGUAAAACCCCAUAAGAAAAUAAUCUUCCACUCUGGCAAGUGAAAAGACACUAGCCUCCACCUAAACAAUGAAUGUCUCAGGGCAAAAUCAAAGUUAAAUUGGACAUAGCUUUUUUUUCCAUUUAAUGAAACAUGAUGAAAUGGAAUUAGCAGAUUUCUGAGAAUUUGCAUAUACUCUAGGCAGAGGUAAUGUGUAUCAUCUGUGGAUACCUCUGAAUCUUUUUGAAGAGACAAAAGAGCAGUAACAAGUGACUUUGCAUUAGGCCUCUCACGAGCUUCAUAUUGUAAACAUCGGGUGGCUAACCUCACCAGUUCAGUUCCAUCAUCAUUAGAAAAAUGACCCUCUAAACAAGAAUCCAUCAGCAUCAGGAAAUUCUUCCCCCGAAUGAGAUCAAGUGCCUGUGAGAUGGCAAUCACAUAGUACCUCAAAUAUCAGAUUUCCAUCCAAAUUAACAGAUAAUUCUUGAAUUCUGCAGCAUUCUCCACCAAUCACAAGGAAUAGUGGCAUGCAACUGACACACAAUGUUUCUCAAUAAUAUAGGGUGCACACGAAACCUUAAAAUUCAACCCUUUACACAGUUAGCUUACAUGGCUGGGUGGAAUAUGUUUGCCACUCAAAAGAUCAAGCAACAUGGUUCCAAAGCUGUAAACUACACUUUCUGGUGUCACUCUUCCUGCAAAUAUUAGGACAUGUUAUCCAUCUCAUGCACAAAUUGGGUGCACAGUGCACGGUAAAUUUUUGAAGAAGAUCAUUAUACUACAAGAAGAAUUAGUUUAGAAUGCAUUCAACCUGUCCUUAAGUAUUCCGGAGGAGUGAAAGCCAAAUUUGUGCUGUAACUUUUGCCAUCUCUACUAUUCUUCAUCAAGCCAAAGCAAGAAAGCCUAGGAUUACCAUCCUGCAGGGUCAUAUUGAGCCGUCAUGUUGCAGAGAAGAAAGCGUAUUUAGAAUGGCAGCCAUAGUGCAUCCAAAACAUGAAAGACGAGGGAUAUUGAGGUCAGAUAUACUUCACCUGAUCAAAUAGGACUCUGUAAGCAUUAAGAUCAUGGUACAAUGCCCUUCCCUUGCUACUACAGUACUCCAAAGCUUGUGCCAAGUACAAUGCCACCCUCAGCCUCAUUGCCCAUUUCAUGGGCUGGUUUUCCCCUAGUCCAUACAGCCCAUAAUUAAGAUCAGAAUUGCAAUGAUAGCCAUAAAGGAAGGGUUUUUGGUGAUGGCGAUCAAUCUCAAUGAUUUCAAUUACACAUUUGAAUAUUUCAAAUUAGAACGAAUAUAAAAGUUUACAUGAUGUGUGAUUCUAGUUUUUAAGUUAACGUGCUUCUGCCCUAAUAAAGUGUACUAGAGAGGGAGGCUAGGAUUAGAGGCAACUCCAGUAAUUAGAGAAUUCAGCAUGUAAAAUCUGCAAACUGUACAUAAUCUUGAUGAAUACCGGCUUUAACCUUCUGUACUAGAGUCAAACCAAUGACUUUUCAAGACAUGGAUUGAGCAAUAACGGUUUGCAUUCUUGAAAAUAAUUGAUAAACAUGUAAGCAUUUCGUCCACACCACCUAAGCAUUUAGAAACUACAUAAACAAGAGCGGAAAAAAAAACUCACAAUGAAAUAAAUGCUUGGCGAGCGUUUCAUUGGGCAUAAACUCCGCCACCAGCAAUCUCUCCUCCGACUCGCAGCAGCACCCUAUAAGAUUCGCUAAUCUCUCGCUCCUCAAAUUCCCCACUGUCCUGGCCUCAUCCUACGACAACCAAUCGAUCAAGAAAGCCAAAAAAGGAAGAAGAAAAAGUUGCUUCGAAUCUCCUCAAGGAAUGCAACAUUGGUUUGUCUGACAAGUCUCAGAUAAGAGCUGAAAAGGUUUCUGGUUUUGUUGGCCUCGGUUUGAAAAAGGGGAUGCUUGGUAAGUUCUGUUUAUUCUGCUUGCAAACAUUUUGAAGUUUCCCGUUUAGAUUCAGGGCAUCUUGUCUCCAUUAAUUCCCGUCUCUUAAUAUUUCAUCAUUCUAGUUUUGGCUAGCUUUCUUUUUCCCUGUGUUAUUCAUGCUGGCAUAAGUGUGAGCAUAUUGUUGAGUGCCAUCAGUAAGGUUGGCCAUAUGCCAACUUUACCUAAAUUUUUAGACGAAAAAUAGAUUUUGAGGAUGUUAACAAUCUUAAUAUGAACUGAUAAAUGUCAUGAAACUGGCCCUUGCCAACUUUACUUUUAAUUGCUAAACGAAAUAAUGACACCCAAUUUCUGCCAUUUCUUUCCUAGAGGCUGAAACGAAAUGAGAGAAACUUUUCUCAAGUGUUAACUUGUUUUCCUUAUUUCAUAACUUGAGUUCUCUUAUCCUUUUAGCUUCCAUUCAUUGCCAAACUAGGCCUUAAGAACUUGAGAUUGCAAACUGUGGAUGCUGGAUUUCCCUUCAAGUUCUUGAAAGAACUGAAGUUGCCCAUCAUCCCCUCCUACAAGUGCUCAGGAACAGAUUGCAGGAUGCAGCUGAAAGAUUAUCAGCUGACAAAUAAUUAUUCUACUACAGUAAUGUGAUUAUGCAAUGAUGAUGAUUUAUAUAAUUUUAUAAUUAACUAGUGUGCAGGUCUUUUGAUUAGAAAUGAGUAUAUACAUCUUAGCACUUGAAUGCAGAUUUAGGAAUUCAGCAUUGCUGUAGCAUGCUUCUUGAUUACUUGGCCUUUCUUUUAAGAUGGUCUAAGACUUUGUUUGUUCAGAGCAGUUCCUGUUAGGCAUGUUUCUCGUCCAUGCCUGUUGAAAAUAUGUCGAGUCAAAAGUGAGGACUCAGAAGGAAUUUUAACGGGAGAAAGCAUCAUAGUAGAUGAGCAGACGCUGGAGCGGGAAUUACAGAUUGCAAUAGAAGAGGAGAACUAUACCAAAGCAGCAGAAAUAAGAGAUAGCCUUCGGUCUCUCCAGAGUGACAGCAAGGCUUCUGUGUUAGCAGCUAAUACUCGCUUUUACAACACAUUCAGAAACGGGGAUCUAGCAGCUUUGCAAGCACUAUGGUCAAAGGGUGAUAAUGCAUGUGUUGUGCACCCUGGUGUGAGUGGCAUAUCUGGCUAUGAUCUUGUGAUGGGAAGCUGGGAGUUUGUGUGGGCUGACUAUGAAUUCCCACUGGAAAUCGAGAUCAAGGAUGUUCAAGUUCACGUUAGAGGGGAUGUAGGAUAUGUUACAUGCAUUGAAAUGGUUAAGACAAAGGGUAGCAGCUGGGGUAAACAGUUUGCCACUAAUGUCUUUGAGAAAAUUGAGGGUCAGUGGAAAAUAUGCAUUCACCAUGCAUCAUAUGUUGACUUGUGAAAUGGAUUUUGAGGACGUUAAGGAAAUGUAGUGGGCAUUAGGCAACGGCUUUUAGUAACUGUAAUUCUGUCCAAGGUGUAUCCUCAACUUUGAAUUUUGAUGUACCUGCAUGCUAUCAAAUUUUGCCAAAAAGUUUGUAACAAAUGCGUCUGCCGAUAUGCAGAGGCACAUUCAAGCAUGGUGGCUUAAGUUUUGGUUGAGGUUGGUGUGUUGACACAAUACUUAACGGGUCCGUUGCUGCUACAGAUUAGUCCUAUUCCAUUAACUAAUAGUUGUAGUCUUCUGAGGCCCUGCGCAAUUCAAAUCACCGUGGUUGGCUUGCUUUAAUGCAUUCUACUGCUAUGGUAUGGAUUCUACUUAAAUUUGAGCCUUCAGCAAACGUUUAGUUGGACAUCUUUGUUUAUAAGAACGUGAACAACACCUUGCUUGACUAAAUACGGCUGCAAAUGUCUGCAUUUCAUAGAACAUCGUUUAGUUACUCUUUGUUUCUGAAAGCAGCUUUUCGCCUGGACCCUUGUUGAUUAAUCUCUCGUGACAAGAAAAGUGUCCAGCGUAAGCAGCUUUUAAUUGUUUCCAUCGUAAAGUUGCUCUUUUCUUUCCAUUUCUGAGAGAUAAGAAAGGUGUCCAGUAACAUAUUUGAACUGUCCAUUUCUAACGGAUAAGAAAGUCUCCAGUAUAUGCAAGUAGUUCCAGGAGUUCAGGUUGCAGAAUGCAAUCUAGUUCUCCAUGUGUUUUUUUAGCAUGAGUAGUAUUAUUGCCUACAUAUACAUGUAACAAAUUACAGAGGCCAAUACAAUUCCUUACUAGCUGACUUCUGUAUUUCGGAAGUCUAGGUGUGAAAAUCACUGCAAACUAGCAGUCUAGUCAGAUGUACACUUGUUCCUUGGGUCUUAAAAUCUCUUAUUUACACCUAGCGAGCCAAACUCCCAAUAAUCAGGCACUCAAAUCCUCCCUACUGGUGAGGGGGGAGGCGAUGAAACAU